UAGUUUACAGUUUAACACAUAGACACUGAGAUUUCAUCAUAUGAUGCCGCUUCAAUCACUAUCACAUGGAGCAGUAGGGACCCCACUACCAACGUGGACAUAUUUACACAAAUACGGUAACAAUUGAACACUUAUCACAAUAUAGUGCAGUAAUGCUAGCCAUGAUAGUAUUCACCAAUGUGGCCACUUAACGGUAAAUAGUAAACAGGACAAUCGAUUUUUUGUCCACAUGAUAGGGUUCACCAAUAAUUAUCCCACCGAAUUUCACCCACGCACACACAUAGCCCUCCGUGAUAAAUGAUUAAAUGGAUUUUAACGUCUUGACACUUAACACAGACUCAUGGCUUUUUGACUAACACUUACAUUUAUUUUGCAUGUUUUGCUAUCUUUCUAAUUGGAU
This 400-nucleotide long non-coding RNA is filed under the name Carica papaya (papaya). Its description in RNAcentral is "long non-coding RNA (CPAP_LNC010966)". Lineage: Eukaryota; Viridiplantae; Streptophyta; Magnoliopsida; Brassicales; Caricaceae. The record is from RNAcentral.